UGGGGAAUAUUGCACAAUGGAGGGAACUCUGAUGCAGCGACGCCGCGUGAACGAAGAAGGCUUUCGAGUCGUAAAGUUCUUUUAUAUGGGAAGAUAAUGACGGUACCAUAAGAAGAAGCCCCGGCUAACUACGUGCCAGCAGCCGCGGUAAUACGUAGGGGGCUAGCGUUGUCCGGAAUCACUGGGCGUAAAGGGUUCGCAGGCGGAAAUGCAAGUCAGGUGUAAAAGGCAGUAGCUUAACUACUGUAAGCAUUUGAAACUGCAUAUCUUGAGAAGAGUAGAGGUAAGUGGAAAUUUUAGUGUAGCGGUGAAAUGCGUAGAUAUUAAAAAGAAUACCGGUGGCGAAGGCGACUUACUGGGCUCAUUCUGACGCUGAGGAACGAAAGCGUGGGUAGCAAACAGG
RNAcentral lists this ribosomal RNA (403 nucleotides) under bacterium. RNAcentral describes it as "partial 16S ribosomal RNA". It matches the Rfam family "Bacterial small subunit ribosomal RNA", at positions 355 to 776 of the family's 1533-position model. The record is from RNAcentral.